Molecule: non-coding RNA, 171 nt
Organism: Thermobacillus composti KWC4
Lineage: Bacteria; Bacillati; Bacillota; Bacilli; Caryophanales; Paenibacillaceae
Source: Rfam
UCGGUCGCGAGGCCGAAUCUGAAGGAAGCCUAAGGCAAACGCACGGGCCAAGGUACACGAACUGGAUUCGAGGCAGGGUUAGUCGGAUGAGUUGCCAGCACACAACGAAAUCCAAAGCCGCCAAGGACUAAUCCUGUAAACUCCAGUGGUCGCGGGCGGAAAGAUGACGCU